RNAcentral lists this microRNA precursor (84 nucleotides) under Tigriopus californicus. RNAcentral's name for it is "microRNA mir-184". Lineage: Eukaryota; Metazoa; Arthropoda; Copepoda; Harpacticoida; Harpacticidae. The record is from RNAcentral.
UUUGAUCCCACUCCUUGUCAUUCGCCUGUCCCGUAGGAAAAUUCAACUAGACUGGACGGAGAACUGAUAAGGGCUGGACAAAGA